Molecule: ribosomal RNA, 20 nt
Filed under: Gunnera macrophylla
Lineage: Eukaryota; Viridiplantae; Streptophyta; Magnoliopsida; Gunnerales; Gunneraceae
Description: partial 26S ribosomal RNA
Source: RNAcentral
UUGGGACCCCAGGUCAGGCG